Molecule: long non-coding RNA, 2862 nt
Organism: Rhododendron vialii
Lineage: Eukaryota; Viridiplantae; Streptophyta; Magnoliopsida; Ericales; Ericaceae
Exons: 2
Source: RefSeq, a predicted model, not a curated record
CAACUCAUUUCUCUCUCUACUCUCCUGACUCCUCUCCUCUCUUACGGUUCUCGCCAUCUCUUUCUCACCCUCACUCAAAUCACACCCGAGAACUUGAAACCCAUGAAGAUCACCCACCUCUUCACCUAUAAAUUGUGUUCUUGAGCUCGUACCCGGUUGAUUGGAGUUCGGAGAGGAGUAUUCGGUCGAUUUCAAGGUUCUCGAAGUUAGGGCUCGCAUGGCAUUUAGAGGUUAUGCUCAAAACACAUUCGGUGUGAUUCCGGAGCAGUAGCAUGAAGUAAAGUGCAUGCAUCCAAGUGCAUAUUUUUGAAAGAUGUGAUAUAAGUGACUCAUGGACAUUUUGGUAAAUCAUGUCUUGGGAUGUAAUAGAACCUUAACUCAAUUUCUUUUAAUGAUGUAAUAUAUUCAAACUCUUUGAGUUGGAUAUGUACUUUAAUGACCAGGAAAUGGUAAACUCUUUUUGGGGUAUUAUGUAAGAUAAUGUAAGGAGUUUUAUUUAUGAAAAACUAUUUUUAUUUACGUUAAAAAUCGAGGGCGUGACAAAUCAAUAAUCAACAAACAUUUGAUGCAAAACUAACAAGGCAAAAAAAAUUUAAAUAAAGACAAAAAAAAAAAAAGCCAAGUGGCUUAAUUUCGUGGAGAUGAACCAAUGAUCCAUAAAAAAAAUUGACGUAAACCUGACAAAUGCGAAAAAAAUUGAAUAACUUACCCAACAAAGGUGACGACACAAUGGCUCUUGUUUUUGCCAGAGCGAACAACACGACGACACACGACACCUUUUUUCGACUCGUUUUUGGUGUGUUUUUCUUUCUUCUUUUCUGCUUUCAGUUAUGGAUCUGGACAAGGAAUUUUCGUUACUUGCAUCUGCUGUUGGUGCGAGUAAACCUAGUUCGUCGAGAAGGGGGAAAUCGACCCAAUCGAGGCUAAAGUACCUUGCCAAGACCAACGAGGUACUAUAGCACCAUGCUAUUCCGCGACCUUGAACGAGUUUGAUGGGUAUUCAUUUUCUGUGCUUCAGCUAAUUAUGAGAGCUAAAACCUCCAAUUGUUGAGGAGCUAUAACCUCCAAUUGCUAAGGCAGUUGGAGAUGCUUUGCGAGCUUUCAAACGAUCGAAAAAUACAGAGGGAAACGUUGUACAAAUCCUGAAGAUGAAAAGAGAGAUACAAAUCGUCGAAGAUGGAAGAGAGAGAGAGAGAGAAAGAGAGAGAGAGAAGAAGAAGAAGAAGAAGAAGAAGAAGAAAGGGGAAGACGUAUACACCUCUGUCUCAAUCAUUGCCAGAGAAAAUGCGUGAACUUGUCAGGUGCGGAAAGGUGAGAAGACGAAAACACCCCUAAAGAAGUAAAUCUAGUGAUUGUUUGGUGCGCAAGGAGAAAAUUUUGCAUAGAAUUCAUGGGUCUGAAAAAUUACUGUCUUAUGGUGGAAUGGUUCAAUUGAUUCAGUCAGUUUUAUACAGUAUCCAGGUAUAUUGGAGCUCCAUCUUUAUUCUCCCUAGUAAAGUUGUGAAGGAGAUUAAGGCCACUUUAAUGGCCUUUCUAUGGUCUGGUUCUGAUCUUAAGCAUUCAGCUGCUAAAGUCAAAUAGGAGCGUAUUUGUUGUCCUAAAGAAGGAGGGUUAGGCUUCAGGAAAAUAAAAUAUUGGAAUAAAGCUUCUAUGAUGCGACAUCUUUGGGCUUUAUGUUUGAAGGCAGAUACGUUAUGGGUAAAAUGGGUCCAUUCCUACAUUAAAUGGCGAAACUUAUGGUCUAUGGAUACCCCAUGAUAUGCAUCCUGGACAAUUCGAAAGUUAUUCAGUAUUAGAAAGCUAGGGCAGCCGCUGAUUAAGUAUAAGGUUGGAAAUGGGCAAGGGACAUUCCUUUGGCUCAACAAUUGGCAUCCAAUGGGACCCCUUUAUGAUAGAUUUGGCAGUGAGGUGGUUUUCAAUCUUGGAAGAUCUUUGCGAGCCAGGGUUUCGUCCAUCAUUUUCCUAGGGGAAUGGAGACGGCCUCGAACUAGAAAUAGAGUUGCUCAGGCUAUUAUUAAUCACACCCCCUCUGAUCUUAAAUCAGAUGUAACAAGGGAGGAUUCCAUAAUGUGGCUGCCUCAGUCUAAUGGUCGUUUCUCUGCAAAGUCAACUUGGGAAGCUAUCCGACACCGAUUUCCCUCUCGUACUUGGGUUAACAUAGUAUGAGGAAGUAAGAUUGUGCCGAAAUGGUCGUUUCUCCUCUGGAUGGCAGUACAAUACAAGCUAAGUACUAGGGAUAGACUCCGCAACUGGGAAAUGAAUGUGGAGGAUUCAUGUGUGCUUUGCAGGAAUGAUAUAGAGUCCCAUAACCAUUUGUUUUUUCGAUGCUCUUUUUCUUCUAUUGUUUGGAAUGAAGUGUGGGGUAAGAUUCCAACUUUUGGUGUCCUGAGUAGUCUGGAAGAUGUGGUGGAAUGGUUCACUGGGAAUGUAAAAGGAAAGGGUCUUGAGUGCCUAAUCAUGAGAGUACUCUUGCUGCAGCAAUUUAUGUGAUUUGGAGAGAAAGGAAUCUUCGGAUCUUUCAAGGCCACGCCUCUGCAGUGGACCAAGUUUCUGCUCUAUUAGUGAAUGCUAUUAGGGACUCUUUGAGUACUAGAAGGGGGGUUAAACCCACGGCUCUUAAUAAUGUGUUAGGAGUUGGUUGGAGAUUGCCUACUUGUAUUUUCUCUUAGUUUUUUUCUUGUUGAUCUGAUGCCUUGUUCUGGGCUUGCUGUUUUCUAUUUUCAAGUUUAUGCCUAGGCAUUGCGCUGUGUUAGCAUUUUGGGAGGUGUUUUUCUCUUGUUUACUGGGGUAUGCCCCUUUAUGUAUGAGUAUUGAGCUUUUCUAAUGAAAUUUACUUAUCAAAAAAAAAAAAAAAUUUGUUUA